UGAUUUUCAGAGACAGAUAAAUGAAACACUUCACUAUUUGAGGACACCACAUAGCUUUUCCUUGUGCGCUGUUCUGUUAUUUAAAUUUUAAGUCCUAGAAGCCUAUAAAUUGCAGUAGUUCUGUUUUCUAUUUUUAAUCUCAUGGACUGUCAGAAAAAUUCAAUUAAACACAGUUUUAGAGAAAAAAUUAUGUACAAAUAGUAAAAGAUAUUAAAUGGUGUUACUCCUUAAAACUGGUUUUACUUCUUGCCUCAAAAUUUCAGCAUUUUAUGAAUAUUAAGUAAUAAGAAGCUUUUCCUUUGUAUACAUAUUUAUAAUGAUAUUGGACUUUUCAAAUUUACUUUAAAAUAGAAAUAACUACAAAUAUUUUAACACAGCAUCAUAUGAAGUAUACAAUAAAAGGUAAGAAAUACUUUCUGGGUGAUAUGUGUGUAUCGUGAACACUUCUAUAAAGCCAUACUAAGUGUAAAUCCUUGUGUGUGAAGUAUUUGGUUAAAGAGUGUGUUAUUGUUCUCAUUGCUAAUAAUUUUAAAAACUAGUCAAUUAUUAAUAAUUCAGUACAUUUUCAUUGGAUCCAAACAAUCACCACCCUUCUGCCACAGCCGUGUGCCUGUGUUAAGAAGCUUAACGUUUAUUUGUUAAGAAGAAAAACUGCCGACUGUCCAUAGGUGCUCAGGCAUGGAAAUAUUUUGUGAAAUAUGUCAUAAAAGUUGCUUUGAACUGGAACCAAAUAUAACUUUAUCUCUACAAAAUUCUCAAAAAUUCACUGUUUCUAAAUGUGAUUGUAGUAAACAGUUCAGUCUUAUAUAUGAUUAUUUGCAGAUUUUUGAAUAGAAUGAAGAAUUUUAGAUCUGUUUUAACUUUAAUCACUACAUUAUGGUACACUUAAACUAUAUUGUUCAUUUCGGUGACUGUUCUACUCAUGUCUUAAUAGAUAUUUAAUGAUACUAUUGAGAUAAUUUAAAUAUGACUAAAUAUGGGCCUAUAUAAUUUUUUAAAUGAAUUUGGCAUAUUUAGAUGUUUGGGAAUAUUUUCUUACUGUAUAUGAGGUGAUUAAUUUUUGGCAUAAGUUCAUGUUUAUAUCAUAAAUCUUACAUUAUUUUUUUUUUUACCAGAUAAUGUAUUGGAAGUGUUACAAUAGUAGUUCUUUAUAUCAAAAUUUUAAAGUUAUGACCAAGGAUUUAAGUGUAUGACUUUAUCAGAUAUGUGAAUUUGAUUGUUGGAAAACAUAUGCAUUGACUUUUUCUAAAAACUUUAAUACAGACAUAAUUUAGAAAUAGUUAGCAUUUAGCACUGCUUUGAAUCCAGUUAAUACCUGGUGGUACCUGGUAGAGCUAUAACUCAGAACUAGAAAUGAAGACCAUUAUGUUAGAUUUCCACCUAUCUGUGUUUGAAAUUACUAUUAUACAUCAUUUAAAAAGUGACAAAUAUGCAAGUAAUUAUUUCAAUAGCUAAGGUGGAAAAAUACAUUGCCAUAAGGUAAAACUAAUGUUUCUUGUUAUUAGUACUUAUAAUGUUUCAAAUAGUUUGAGAUUUUGGUGUGAUUUAGUGAUUAUCCCUAAAAAAUUAGUGGCAUAAUUUGCAGCAAAUAUUAUUUUAUGUUCUUUUCUGGUGUCUGAUUCAUGACUUGAUUAUCGUAUGUAGAGCCUUAGGGGUUGUUUAAAAAUGAUUGAUUAGCAAGACUAAAUCCAAGUUUGUCUGAUGAUGAAUAGACAUAAUUGAAAAUAGAUGAUUUUCGUCUUCUGAAUUCUUAAAUGUCCCAAUAAAAUAAUAAGGAUUUAAACUUUGAAAAUGCCCUUUAACUUUUGUUUUUAUAUUUACUAAGACAAUUUUACUGUUCAUAUCCUUGAAUUAUUCCAUGUGUAUGCAUACACAUAUAUUUAUAUAUGAAUGCCUUUGAGUGCUUGCUGUAUAAAAAUUCUGUACAAUGGUAGCUAACUCUUAUGAAAGUAGGAUUUCAUUAAUUAUAUAUUAAAUGUUUUGGGUUUAAUGUAUACUUUAUUCUUAUGGGAAUUAUCUCGAGGUAUGAGAAUCAAAUAUUGUCAUUGUUGGUAAUUUCUUAAAAUUAUAUUUGUUUGGCAAAAUAUUUUAAUUAUGGUAUGUCACUAGCUUUUUUUUCUUUAAAAUUUUUGAAUGGUCAAGUUAGCUAAAUGUAUUCUGUUGGAAACCUUAAUCCUUCCUCAGGGUGGAGAGCGUCAUUGCAUUCACAGUACAUGAUUUUUCAUAAAUCAUCAAAUACCAUAUUCAGAUUGUAUCAGCGUGACCCUUCUUCAGGAAGGUUUUAUUAUUGAAACGCUUCUGAAGUAGAUAUCCCGAGACAGGAUUAGGAGCAGGGUGUGUGAGUCGGUAAGGCAGACAGUGGUAGAGUUGGACCUCAGUCUUAUUUUGUUGUCUAUUUUGGGAUGUGUGCUUAUAGGGUUUACUUAAUUAAGUAUCAAGAAUGAUGUUUCUAACGUAAGUUUUAAAUAAUUUUAUAGAUUUUACAAUGUAUUGAUUGGUCUUUAUGGGAUUGUUUAUUUUAAAUAUUUGAAAACAUCAGGUUUAUGUCUUAAUUGAAUUUCCUCGUGAUGUAGGUAUCAAGCAUGAUUUGGGUUUUAAUGAGGCUGACCAUGGUGCUGAAGCAUAUUGUUUGGAGGAUUGUACUUUUAGAUAGGGUUAAUACCUUUGGAAACAAAAAACAUUUCUUCUUGUGCUAUGAUUGAAAGAAAUAUUGUAAAAGGAAAAUAUUGCUAGAUUUAUGCAAAUUUGGAGUCAUUUGUAGUGUGUUUUUUGUGUUUAUGAUAAAAUAUUAUUAAAUAUAUAUUUGUGUUAUAAUGAGUAAAGCUAAUUGUAAUAUUAGCAAUUUAUAUAAAUUACAUGUAUCUUUCUCUCUGCCCCAAAGCAUGGAAUACCAAAUUGUAGACAGAAAUAUUUGUGAUCUUACCAAGGUAUUUCUUUUUAAUAACAGAACCAGAAACAGUGAAACCGAGAUCGCUAAAGCUAUUGUUUUAAUCUUCUCUACAUCUCAUAGUUUCAGAUAGACUGUUAAAGAAAAAUGGAAAUUUAUGCUUUGACUGUGUUACUAUUUUUUACCUCCAUAUUAUAGUGACCUGGUUGAUCAUUUCCUGCAAUUUGACUAUUUUCCCCUCAGUUUAUAAUGAGUUGCAUUUUUCAAAGUCUGCUAGUUUAUCAAUUCUAA
Ochotona curzoniae (black-lipped pika) is the source of this 3178-nucleotide long non-coding RNA. RefSeq lists it as uncharacterized. The record is from RefSeq and is a predicted model, not a curated record. The transcript has 3 exons. Lineage: Eukaryota; Metazoa; Chordata; Mammalia; Lagomorpha; Ochotonidae.